ACGAACGCUGGCGGCGUGCUUAACACAUGCAAGUCGAACGCUGAACCCGCUUCGGUGGGGGAUGAGUGGCGAACGGGUGAGUAACACGUGGGCAACCUGCCCCCGGCUCUGGGAUAACUCCAAGAAAUUGGGGCUAAUACCGGAUGUGACCGCUGGCCGCAUGGUCUGGUGGUGGGAAGGGUUUCCGGCUGGGGAUGGGCCCGCGGCCUAUCAGCUUGUUGGUGGGGUAGUGGCCUACCAAGGCGACGACGGGUAGCCGGCCUGAGAGGGUGACCGGCCACACUGGGACUGAGACACGGCCCAGACUCCUACGGGAGGCAGCAGUGGGGAAUAUUGCGCAAUGGGCGGAAGCCUGACGCAGCGACGCCGCGUGGGGGAUGACGGCCUUCGGGUUGUAAACCUCUUUCAGCAGGGACGAAGCGCAAGUGACGGUACCUGCAGAAGAAGCACCGGCCAACUACGUG
RNAcentral lists this ribosomal RNA (464 nucleotides) under uncultured bacterium. RNAcentral describes it as "partial 16S ribosomal RNA". It matches the Rfam family "Bacterial small subunit ribosomal RNA", at positions 29 to 507 of the family's 1533-position model. The record is from RNAcentral.